GGGUGAUUGGCCAAUUUUAUGGGCAUUUCCAGGAUUAGGUGAUUGAGAAAUAGGCAGAGGUUCCGCUUUGCCCUCAGGCGACGUGAAAAAAGCAUUGAAAUCAGCUGGAACUUCCCAAACGAAUGAUGAGAAAAAUGCAUUGGUAUCAGUUUCCGGGUAGUUUGUUUUGAGAUAAGUUUUAAGAGAUAGCUUACUCAAAAAC
Molecule: unclassified non-coding RNA, 202 nt
Filed under: Hevea brasiliensis (rubber tree)
Lineage: Eukaryota; Viridiplantae; Streptophyta; Magnoliopsida; Malpighiales; Euphorbiaceae
Source: RNAcentral